RNAcentral lists this ribosomal RNA (434 nucleotides) under Phaeocystis sp. JD-2012. RNAcentral's name for it is "SSU rRNA". It matches the Rfam family "Eukaryotic small subunit ribosomal RNA", at positions 446 to 884 of the family's 1831-position model. Lineage: Eukaryota; Haptophyta; Phaeocystales; Phaeocystaceae. The record is from RNAcentral.
GAAUCCUGACACAGGGAGGUAGUGACAAGAAAUAACAAUACAGGGCUACUUCUAGUCUUGUAAUUGGAAUGAGUACAACUUACAUCUCUUCACGAGGAUCAAUUGGAGGGCAAGUCUGGUGCCAGCAGCCGCGGUAAUUCCAGCUCCAAUAGCGUAUAUUAAAGUUGUUGCAGUUAAAAAGCUCGUAGUCGGAUUUCGGGGCGGGCCGAGCGGUCUGCCGAUGGGUAUGCACUGUUCGGCGCGUCCUUCUUUCCGGAGACUAGUUCUACUCUUAACUGAGCGGGACUGGGAGACGGAUCGUUUACUUUGAAAAAAUCAGAGUGUUUCAAGCAGGCAGCUCGCUCUUGCAUGGAUUAGCAUGGGAUAAUGAAAUAGGACUCUGGUGCUAUUUUGUUGGUUUCGAACACCGGAGUAAUGAUUAACAGGGACAGUCA